CCUUAGAUUAUGUUAGGAACCUAAACCAAACAAACAACUAUACACGGUCCACAAAAAUGAAGAACUGAUAUUGAUCUCGAAUUAAGUGACACAACGGAAAAUGAGCUUCCAAAUCUAUGAACUCUGAUUUAUUGAAUGACUCCAAAGUAAAAUUGGGAAAGCUCCAAGGCGUUCGAGAGGCCUGGACUCUCCCAAUGACAUCAACAAAAAGAACGUGAAUACCCAUCAACCCCGCUUCCCCAAUACAUUUAUUCCCCCCUUUUUACAACUGACUCUUUCCCAAAAUACCCCUAUACUAACUAAUUGGACUGAAUUGGUUGCUGCUUCUUUGGUCUCGUGCUCUUUCCCUGUCUCGCAUAAGUGAGCUGUAUCGGGGGUCUAUCAUUUCUCCCCCUCCCGAAAUCUACCUUGUCCUCAAGGUGGAAAUCUGAGAAUUGCUACCGAAUCAUCUCCACCGGUUCCCAAGUCGCUUUAAAAGCCGGUAAGUUUCUCCAUUUGAUCAAGAUUUCCUUUUCUGUGCUAGAAUCCCUAGGUCUGACUUGCAGCACAGAUUCUGGUUCCACUGGCAACUGACCUCCUGCAAUAAAUUGUGGCGGGAGCUAGGAAGUAGGUUGAGCAGCCCCAAUUGCCCUACGGAGUUGUGACACAUGAAACACAGGGUGUAUCGCAACCUCAGGUGGAAGCUUCAAUUUAUAAGCCACCUGUCCAACCGUGCCACCACUUCAAACGGUCCAAAAUACCGUGGGAACAACUUUUCAACCUGACGGUGGACCACAGAUUUCUUUGUGUAGGGACGAAGCUUGAGGUACUCCAACUCUCCUACUUCAAACUGAACAUCUCGGCACUGCCCAUCCACUCUUUGUUUCAUCACGUGCUGAGCCUGUGUGAGCCGCAAUUUCAGCUCUUGAAGUACCUCAUCUCUGACCAAUAAUGACUGCUCCACUGAAGACAGAAUUGUAGCCCCUCUUUCGAAUGGUAGUACUGGGGGUGGGGCACGCCCGUACACAAUCUGAAAAGGGAUGUGUUUAAUUACUGUGUGAAAUGAAAUUUUAUACCAGUAUUCGGCCAACGGCAACCACUGGUUCCAAGUAUGAGGUCGACUGUGGGAAAAGCACCGCAAAUAAGUCUCUAAGCAGCGGCUUACAACUUCAGUUUGCCCAUCCGUCUGUGGGUGAUAGGCCGUACCGUGUUUCAGUUUUGUUCCUUGGGCUUUGAAAAGUGCAGUCCAGAACUUACUCAUAAAAACACGGUCUCGAUCAAACACAAUGGAUUGCGGUACCCCAUGCAAGCGGACCACUUCUCUGAUAAAUAUAUCCGCUACCCCUUGCACUGUGAAUGGAUGUUUUAACCCAAUAAAGUGCCCAUAUUUACUCAAACAGUCCACAACCACCAAUAUUGUGUCCAUCCCACCUGAUCUUGGCAACCCUUCUAUGAAAUCCAAGGAAAUAUCAGCCCAAAUGAAAUCUGGAAUGGGUAAUGGCUGUAACAAUCCACUAAGUGAUAAGGCCUCAUACUUGUUUUGCCGGUAGGUGGCACAAUGUGCCACAAAAUCCUGUACAUCCUUCUUCAUUCCCAGCCAGUACACCUCUCUAGCCAAUCUUUUGUAAGUCUUCAAGACUCCCGAAUGCCCCCCACCUUUUUAUCGUGACACUCAUUCAACAUUACUGCCACCCACGGUGAGUGUUUAGGCAAGACCACCCUCCCUUUGUAAUACAGGAUACCAUCAUCUAGUGUGUACCCCGGCUUAACCAACUGACCAGACUGUAUUCCAGUGAUUACUCCACCUAAUUUGAUAUCUAUCAUUACUUCCUUCUUCACUUCUUCAAGGUGUAAAACUCGAGGGAUUGAUAGAGUUAAAAAAUUCAGGGAUGGCUCAACUCGGGAGAGGGCGUUUGCCGCUCUAUGCUCCAGGCCCGGGUGAUACUAAAUCUCAAAAUUGUACCCCAUUAGUUUGGACAUCCACUUCUAGUGUUCAUCGCUCACUAUGUGCUGUUCAAGAAGAUACUUUAAACUCCUCUAAUCAGUCCUUACCACAAAUCGCCGUCCCAUUAGAUAGUGUCUCCAUUUCUGGAUGGCGAACAUAAUAGCCAUCAACUCCCGCUCAUACACUAAUUUAUUUCUAGCAUUCUGGGGUAAAACCUGACUGAAGUAAGCAAUGGGGUGCUGACUUUGCAUCAACACUGCUCCUAAUCGAUGUCCCGAAGCAUCGGUCUCCACUACAAAUGCCUUGGAGAAAUCGGGUAAAGCAAGUACUGG
Molecule: long non-coding RNA, 2256 nt
Filed under: Olea europaea subsp. europaea
Lineage: Eukaryota; Viridiplantae; Streptophyta; Magnoliopsida; Lamiales; Oleaceae
Source: RNAcentral